GCAUUGUAGCGCAUGCGCACUAUCAUUUGGAGCAGAGGCGUUUGAAGCUUGAACGAGAGCGCGGGGUUGUGCAUGAUGAGGGCGAAGUGGAGGAAAAAAAGGAUGCGCAGAUUGAAGCGCAAACGUAGGAAGAUGAGGGCAAGGUCCAAGUGAGGCCUGCAAAUGGAGUGGCAACACCGUGGUGACUGGCAGCUGUAUUAAGCUUCACCUUCAUUGUUAAAUGGAAGACUGCAGUUUUCAUGUUUCAAGAAUUUCCAAUUUGUUUUAUCUGUUACUGAACUUUGUUAUGGAAUGCAUUUUAUUGCAGUUUUUGAUGUUUUAAAAUAAAAUUGUUUUGAAUACACUUUAAA
Molecule: long non-coding RNA, 350 nt
Organism: Chiloscyllium plagiosum (whitespotted bambooshark)
Lineage: Eukaryota; Metazoa; Chordata; Chondrichthyes; Orectolobiformes; Hemiscylliidae
Source: RefSeq, a predicted model, not a curated record